This 468-nucleotide ribosomal RNA is filed under the name uncultured bacterium. RNAcentral describes it as "partial 16S ribosomal RNA". It matches the Rfam family "Bacterial small subunit ribosomal RNA", at positions 28 to 507 of the family's 1533-position model. The record is from RNAcentral.
GACGAACGCUGGCGGCGUGCUUAACACAUGCAAGUCGAACGGAAAGGCCCUGCUUUUGUGGGGUGCUCGAGUGGCGAACGGGUGAGUAACACGUGAGUAACCUGCCCUUGACUUUGGGAUAACUUCAGGAAACUGGGGCUAAUACCGGAUAGGAGCUCCUGCUGCAUGGUGGGGGUUGGAAAGUUUCGGCGGUUGGGGAUGGACUCGCGGCUUAUCAGCUUGUUGGUGGGGUAGUGGCUUACCAAGGCUUUGACGGGUAGCCGGCAUGAGAGGGUGACCGGGCACAUGGGGACUGAGAUACGGCCCAGACUCCUACGGGAGGCAGCAGGGGGGAAUAUUGCACAAUGGGCGGAAGCCUGAUGCAGCAACGCCGCGUGCGGGAUGACGGCCUUCGGGUUGUAAACCGCUUUCGCCUGUGACGAAGCGGGAGUGACGGUAAUGGGUAAAGAAGCACCGGCUAACUACGUG